Molecule: ribosomal RNA, 253 nt
Filed under: uncultured bacterium
Lineage: Bacteria
Description: partial 16S ribosomal RNA
Rfam family: Bacterial small subunit ribosomal RNA
Source: RNAcentral
UACGUAGGUGGCAAGCGUUACUCGGAAUCACUAAGCGUAAAGCGCAAGCAGGCGGUUCGGUAAGUCUUUUGUGAAAGCUCCCGGCUCAACUGGGAGAGGUCAAGGGAAACUACCGGGCUAGAGUGUGGUAGAGGAAGCUGGAAUUCCCGGUGUAGCGGUGAAAUGCGUAGAUAUCGGGAGGAAUACCUAUGGCGAAAGCAGGCUUCUGGGCCAUCACUGACGCUGAGUUGCGAAAGCUAGGGGAGCAAACAGG